CAAAUUUCUGCCCUAUCAAGUUUCGAUGGUAGGAUAGAGGCCUACCAUGCUUUUUACGGGUAACGGCGAAUUAGGGUUCGAUUCCGGAGAAGGGAGCCUGAGAAACGGCUACCACAUCUAAGGAAGGCAGCAGGCGCGCAAAUUACCCAAUCCUGAUUCAGGGAGGUAGUGACAAUAAAUAACAAUCCAGGACUUCGGUCUUGGAAUUGGAAUGAGAACAAUUUAAAUCUCUUAUCGAGGAACAAUUGGAGGGCAAGUCUGGUGCCAGAGCCGGGGUAAUUCCAGCUCCAAAUAGCGUAUAUUAAAGUUGUUGCAGUUAAAAAGCUCGUAGUUGGACCUUG
This 341-nucleotide ribosomal RNA is filed under the name uncultured fungus. RNAcentral describes it as "SSU rRNA". It matches the Rfam family "Eukaryotic small subunit ribosomal RNA", at positions 300 to 643 of the family's 1831-position model. Lineage: Eukaryota; Fungi. The record is from RNAcentral.